GGGUUCGUAGCUCAGUUGGUUAGAGCGCGUCGUUGACAUCGACGAGGUCACAGGUUCGAUUCCUGUCGGACCCACCA
Molecule: transfer RNA, 77 nt
Filed under: Parcubacteria group bacterium CG11_big_fil_rev_8_21_14_0_20_41_14
Lineage: Bacteria
Description: tRNA-Val
Rfam family: tRNA
About the family: Transfer RNA (tRNA) molecules are approximately 80 nucleotides in length.
Source: RNAcentral